UCAUCCCGGCAUCGAUCUCACCGUAAAUCAACAUCCUCCCUCUAGCUUCCUUUUCUUUCAUUCAGAUCCGUGAUUAGUUUCGUUUUUCUGGAUCACUCUCAGAUAAACUUGUUUGGUUUCUCUUUCUUUUUUCUUUAAUUUUUUUCCUAUUUCAAGUUCCACAUGGGUUUUAAAUUUUUUAUUCUUGUUUACCUUAUUGAUUGGGUAAAGGAUGGGGAAAUGGGCUUGUUCUGGGUGAGGUGUGUUGGUUUUCAAUAAUAUUUAGGUCAACGAAAGGAAAUUAAUCGUUUUAUGGUUCCUUCUGGUAAUUUGGUCGAAUACAUUUUCGCUUCAUUUUCAGAAAGCUGGGUCAAUAAAAAUUAAACUAAAUAAAGUCCUUCAUUGCUUGGAAUACUUGGAAAAGUAUUUUAUCUGGGUCUGUAGAGCAUUAAAAUUGGCCGUGCAAUGUAAACAGUGUAUCUAUCUUAUCAAACUUACUAGUUUUCUGAACUUGGGUUUGUGUCUAUAACUCUAUUGUAUGUGUUAGCCACUGAUGAGCUUUGCCGGAAAGAUUUGAGUAAA
Molecule: unclassified non-coding RNA, 561 nt
Filed under: Hevea brasiliensis (rubber tree)
Lineage: Eukaryota; Viridiplantae; Streptophyta; Magnoliopsida; Malpighiales; Euphorbiaceae
Source: RNAcentral